Molecule: long non-coding RNA, 973 nt
Organism: Triticum aestivum (bread wheat)
Lineage: Eukaryota; Viridiplantae; Streptophyta; Magnoliopsida; Poales; Poaceae
Exons: 3
Source: RefSeq, a predicted model, not a curated record
CGGGUCUAGCUUUAGCCUGAAACUUGGUGAAAUACCAACAACUUCACAAUCAUAUGUGUCACCAACCAAGUUUACCAGCUAGCAAUUCUCUAUGGUGAGCUGAAAAAAAAACACUCCACAGAACUCGUAUAUUCUGGUCUUCUUUACCUUCCUAUUUCAACCAAGUACUAGAUGAGCCGAUUGAAGCCUUGCUCAUUGAUCAAAAUCGCAGCUUUUGGCCCAGCUGGGUCUGUACAAGAGCAAGGAGGAGGCCGCCAGGCAAGAAGAGGUGCUGGGGAAGCUUGACAAGAUUGUGAAAGAGUGGGUUAAGGAGUUGGCUAUUCAGAGAGGCCAACUCAACGCAAAUGUCGUGCUUUUCACCUUCGGGUCAUACCAUCUAGGGGACAACAAGUUCAUCUGCGGCAGCUAUCACUGUGAGCAGUCCGUCUGCACGGCAGCUAUCACUAUGAGCAGUCCGUCUGCAACGCGCUCCGCAGCGUCUUCGCCGGUCACAACGAGAUCCUCAACGUAUGCAAGUAAGUCGUCGGCCAUCUGUUUCCUGAUGAAUUUUCUUUCUAGCUCAAUGUGAUCGGAUCUGACUAGUACGUUCAGAUUUGCUCUUGUUUUCUUUUCAAAUAGUACUAGUAGUCUAUAUUCCAGCUGUGCGACUACCUGUAGCCACUUGAACCGAUGACAAUUCUUCAAGCCUACCUAUAGCCACUUGAACAUAUGUCUAUCUCAGAUCUGCUCAUCUAAAAAAUCCAAGUGGAGUAGUAUACUGGUAGUAUAGUAUAAUAAUAUUAUCAAAAGGUAAACGCCCUGAUUACCUAGCUCUGUGAGAUAAAUACUCGUCGAAAGUGGGCUCCUAUCAAAAUUCAUUUCCAUUAUAAUCUUACUCAUACAAUAUUCACACCAUGUAAUUCUGGAAAUAUAUGCUCAUAUCUAGUUCUGCAUAAAAAAUGACAGUAUUGACAUGUUAUAAAUAGUUUGUUUG